UAACGAAUCUUCCGCAAUGCACGAAAGUGUGACGGAGCGACGCCGCGUGCGGGACGAAGCCUUUCGGGGUGUAAACCGCUAAUGAGAUCUAGAAAGUACUGAUCGGGUCUCGAUAAGGAGCGACUAACUCCGUGCCAGCAGUCGCGGUAAUACGGAGGCUCCAAGCGUUAGGCGGAAUCACUGGGCUUAAAGCGUGUGCAGGCGGCCUAUCAAGUGUCUUGUGAAAGCCCACGGCUCAACCGUGGAACUGCUCGACAUACUGGUAGGCUUGAGACAUUCAGGGGCGAGCGGAACGAGUCGUGGAGCGGUGAAAUGCGUAGAUAUGACUCGGAACGCCAGAGGCGAAAGCGGCUCGCUGGGAAUGUUCUGACGCUCAGACACGAAAGCCAGGGGAGCGAACGGGAUUAGAUACCCCCGUAGUCC
Molecule: ribosomal RNA, 423 nt
Filed under: uncultured prokaryote
Description: bacterial SSU rRNA
Rfam family: Bacterial small subunit ribosomal RNA
Source: RNAcentral